AUUGAACGCUGGCGGAAUGCUUUACACAUGCAAGUCGAACGGUAGAGGGGGCAACCCCUCGAGAGUGGCGAACGGGGGAGUAAUAUAUCGGAACGUGCCCAGUCGUGGGGGAUAACGAAGCGAAAGUUACGCUAAUACCGCAUACGAUCUAAGGAUGAAAGCGGGGGAUCGCAAGACCUCGCGCGAUUGGAGCGGCCGAUAUCAGAUUAGGUAGUUGGUGGGGUAAAGGCUCACCAAGCCAACGAUCUGUAGCUGGUCUGAGAGGACGACCAGCCACACUGGAACUGAGACACGGUCCAGACUCCUACGGGAGGCAGCAGUGGGGAAUUUUGGACAAUGGACGCAAGUCUGAUCCAGCCAUUCCGCAUGCAGGAUGAAGGCCCUCGGGUUGUAAACUGCUUUUGUACGGAACGAAAAGGUCUCUCUUAAUACGGGGGACUCAUGACGGUACCGUAAGAAUAAGCACCGGCUAACUACGUGCCAGCCGCCGCAGUAA
Molecule: ribosomal RNA, 496 nt
Filed under: uncultured bacterium
Lineage: Bacteria
Description: partial 16S ribosomal RNA
Rfam family: Bacterial small subunit ribosomal RNA
Source: RNAcentral